AACCAUAGAAACCUGCGGAGUACCUGCGGAAGGAUCAUCAUAGAAUUCAUAUCCCCCUCCUCUCCCGGAGGGGGACCCAUGAUAAACCCUUCUGUGCACCGUAAACCGUUCACUUUGGCAGGCUUUGGUGGUGAGCGUGAGCUCGCCUCCAACCUCGCGUUCCUCCCUCACUAAGGGCGUUACGCGUGGCGGCCUGCCGGAGUCCUAUUAAAAAACUCGUUUUCGAACACGUCUGAAAAU
Molecule: unclassified non-coding RNA, 240 nt
Filed under: soil metagenome
Description: partial contains 5.8S ribosomal RNA, internal transcribed spacer 2, and large subunit ribosomal RNA
Source: RNAcentral